Long non-coding RNA from Salvia miltiorrhiza (redroot sage), 464 nucleotides. RefSeq lists it as uncharacterized. The transcript is spliced from 3 exons. The record is from RefSeq and is a predicted model, not a curated record. NCBI's taxonomy places the organism in Eukaryota, Viridiplantae, Streptophyta, Magnoliopsida, Lamiales, Lamiaceae.
UAUGAGAUCAGCCAAAUCAAAUUCAGCUUGAAACUCCCAUUAUUUAGUUCAUUCACCGCCUUCACCAUUUCAUUUUUCUGAAAAUUUGACAACACGCAGCAAACUUUGAUUCUCUGUCUUUUUUUUCCUUGAUUUCCAUUUGUUCUUUCCAGUGCAGGCAUCAAAGGUGCGGCGCGGCUAGGACGUUACUUUUGACUUAAAUUAUUCAAGUUAGCAUUCAAGUUGAGAUUCAAGUUCAAAAUUCAGGUUUUAAAGGCCGGAGACGCGUGGAAGGUCGCAUGGCGAGUCAAAUAUUUUGAAUUUAGUUUUACUUAAAAAUGUUAUUUUGAGCAAGGUAUGUUUAAAUAAAAAUUUAUUUCCUUAUUUUCUCAUUAAAUAUUUAUUUAUAUUCAUAGUUUUUCCGCGUGCGUUUCCAUGUAAAGAUAAAUUGGAUUUGGGUGUCACACUUUAACCCAAAUAUUUAU